This 253-nucleotide ribosomal RNA is filed under the name uncultured bacterium. RNAcentral describes it as "partial 16S ribosomal RNA". It matches the Rfam family "Bacterial small subunit ribosomal RNA", at positions 524 to 776 of the family's 1533-position model. The record is from RNAcentral.
UACGUAGGGGGCGAGCGUUGUCCGGAUUUAUUGGGCGUAAAGCGUGCGUAGGCGGCUGCGCAAGUCGGGUGUGAAACCCCGGGGCUCAACCCCGGAACUGCAUCCGAUACUGCGUGGCUAGAGGUAGGUAGGGGAGAUCGGAAUUCCUGGUGUAGCGGUGAAAUGCGCAGAUAUCAGGAGGAACACCGGUGGCGAAGGCGGAUCUCUGGGCCUUACCUGACGCUCAUGCACGAAAGCGUGGGGAGCAAACAGG